This 296-nucleotide long non-coding RNA is filed under the name Capra hircus (goat). Its description in RNAcentral is "lncRNA (ENSCHIG00010016296.1)". The record is from RNAcentral. Lineage: Eukaryota; Metazoa; Chordata; Mammalia; Artiodactyla; Bovidae.
AAAAUCUGCCUACACUUGUCAUGUCCUCCAAACCACGCAUGGCUGUAUUUAUCUGCCAUAGAGAGAGAGAAAGAGAGAGGGAGAGAAGAAGAAAGCCAAGGCUCUUCUCUCACAAGCACCAGAUCUGUACAUGAUCAAAUUCUGCUUCCUCUUCAAAGUCUGUGAAUCUUUUCCCUUCUCCCUCAUCUCUUCCUCACUCCAAAAAAAAAUUAUAUUCUCUCUCUUUUAAUUUCUCAUGGCAUCUCAUAAAGCCCAUAUUAUGAUACUUGUCAUAUUUUACUGUAAUUUUUCAUGAG